This 244-nucleotide long non-coding RNA is filed under the name Elaeis guineensis (African oil palm). Its description in RNAcentral is "long non-coding RNA (EGUI_LNC049090)". Lineage: Eukaryota; Viridiplantae; Streptophyta; Magnoliopsida; Arecales; Arecaceae. The record is from RNAcentral.
GGUUUGGGGUUUAGGGUUUUAGGGUUUAAGGUUUAGGGUUUUAGGGUUUAGGAUUUUAGAAUUUAGGGUUUAGGGGUUUAGGGUUUUAGGAUUUAGGGUUUAGUAUUUAGGAUAUAGGAUUUAGGGUUUUAGGGUUUGGGGGUUAAAGUUUAGGAUUUUAGGGUUUGGGGUUUAGGGAUUUAAGGGUUUAGGGUUUUAGGAUUUAUGGCAUAGGGUUUAGGGUUUUAGGAUUUAGGGUUUAGGG